This is a non-coding RNA of Acanthosepion pharaonis, 104 nucleotides long. The record is from the annotation of a GenBank genome assembly. NCBI's taxonomy places the organism in Eukaryota, Metazoa, Mollusca, Cephalopoda, Sepiida, Sepiidae.
CAUGUUGAAACAGUGGUUCUCAGCUGAGCAAUGAAAGUUAAGCAAUGUUGAGCCUGGUCAGUACCUAGAUGGGUGACUGCUUAGGAAUACCUGGUGCUGCAAGC